RNAcentral lists this ribosomal RNA (301 nucleotides) under uncultured bacterium. RNAcentral describes it as "partial 16S ribosomal RNA". It matches the Rfam family "Bacterial small subunit ribosomal RNA", at positions 509 to 808 of the family's 1533-position model. The record is from RNAcentral.
CAGUAGCCACGGUAAUACGUAGGUGGCAAGCGUUGUCCGGAAUUAUUGGGCGUAAAGCGCGCGCAGGCGGUUUCUUAAGUCUGAUGUGAAAGCCCCCGGCUUAACCGGGGAGGGUCAUUGGAAACUGGGAGACUUAGAGUGCAGAAGAGGAGAGUGGAAUUCCAUGUGUAGCGGUGAAAUGCGUAGAUAUAUGGAGGAACACCAGUGGCGAAGGCGACUCUCUGGUCUGUAACUGACGCUGAGGCGCGAAGGCGUGGGGAGCAAACAGGAUUAGAUACCCCUGUAGUCCCUGUCUCUUAUA